This 441-nucleotide ribosomal RNA is filed under the name uncultured bacterium. RNAcentral's name for it is "partial 16S ribosomal RNA". It matches the Rfam family "Bacterial small subunit ribosomal RNA", at positions 338 to 795 of the family's 1533-position model. The record is from RNAcentral.
CCUACGGGAGGCAGCAGUGGGGGAUAUUGCACAAUGGGGGGAACCCUGAUGCAGCGACGCCGCGUGGGUGAAGGAGUGCUUCGGCAUGUAAAGCCCUAUCGGCAGGGAAGAAGCAAGACGGUACCUGACUAAGAAGCCCCGGCUAACUACGUGCCAGCAGCCGCGGUAAUACGUAGGGGGCGAGCGUUAUCCGGAUUCACUGGGUGUAAAGGGAGCGUAGACGGCACUGCAAGCCAGGGGGGAAAGCCCGGGGCCCAACCCCGGGACUGCCCUUGGAACUGUGCGGCUAGAGUGCGGGAGGGGCAGGCGGAAUUCCUGGUGUAGCGGUGAAAUGCGUAGAUAUCAGGAGGAACACCGGCGGCGAAGGCGGCCUGCUGGACCGCGACUGACGUUGAGGCUCGAAAGCGUGGGGAGCGAACAGGAUUAGAUACCCUUGUAGUC